GUGGGGAAUAUUGGACAAUGGGCGAAAGCCUGAUCCAGCCAUGCCGCGUGUGUGAAGAAGGUCUUCGGAUUGUAAAGCACUUUAAGUUGGGAGGAAGGGCAGUAAGUUAAUACCUUACUGUUUUGACGUUACCGACAGAAUAAGCACCGGCUAACUUCGUGCCAGCAGCCGCGGUAAUACGAAGGGUGCAAGCGUUAAUCGGAAUUACUGGGCGUAAAGCGCGCGUAGGUGGUUUUGUAAGUUGGAGGUGAAAUCCCCGGGCUCAACCUGGGAACUGCCUCCAAAACUGCAUGACUAGAGUACGGUAGAGGGUAGUGGAAUUUCCUGUGUAGCGGUGAAAUGCGUAGAUAUAGGAAGGAACACCAGUGGCGAAGGCGACUACCUGGACUGAUACUGACACUGAGGUGCGAAAGCGUGGGGAGCAAACAGGAUUAGAAACCCUUGUAGUCC
Molecule: ribosomal RNA, 450 nt
Filed under: uncultured bacterium
Lineage: Bacteria
Description: partial 16S ribosomal RNA
Rfam family: Bacterial small subunit ribosomal RNA
Source: RNAcentral